RNAcentral lists this ribosomal RNA (624 nucleotides) under Escherichia coli. Its description in RNAcentral is "partial 23S ribosomal RNA". It matches the Rfam family "Bacterial large subunit ribosomal RNA", at positions 18 to 684 of the family's 2925-position model. Lineage: Bacteria; Pseudomonadati; Pseudomonadota; Gammaproteobacteria; Enterobacterales; Enterobacteriaceae. The record is from RNAcentral.
UACACGGUGGAUGCCCUGGCAGUCAGAGGCGAUGAAGGACGUGCUAAUCUGCGAUAAGCGUCGGUAAGGUGAUAUGAACCGUUAUAACCGGCGAUUUCCGAAUGGGGAAACCCAGUGUGAUUCGUCACACUAUCAUUAACUGAAUCCAUAGGUUAAUGAGGCGAACCGGGGGAACUGAAACAUCUAAGUACCCCGAGGAAAAGAAAUCAACCGAGAUUCCCCCAGUAGCGGCGAGCGAACGGGGAGCAGCCCAGAGCCUGAAUCAGUGUGUGUGUUAGUGGAAGCGUCUGGAAAGGCGCGCGAUACAGGGUGACAGCCCCGUACACAAAAAUGCACAUGCUGUGAGCUCGAUGAGUAGGGCGGGACACGUGGUAUCCUGUCUGAAUAUGGGGGGACCAUCCUCCAAGGCUAAAUACUCCUGACUGACCGAUAGUGAACCAGUACCGUGAGGGAAAGGCGAAAAGAACCCCGGCGAGGGGAGUGAAAAAGAACCUGAAACCGUGUACGUACAAGCAGUGGGAGCACGCUUAGGCGUGUGACUGCGUACCUUUUGUAUAAUGGGUCAGCGACUUAUAUUCUGUAGCAAGGUUAACCGAAUAGGGGAGCCGAAGGGAAACCGAGUCU